This 493-nucleotide ribosomal RNA is filed under the name uncultured bacterium. Its description in RNAcentral is "bacterial SSU rRNA". It matches the Rfam family "Bacterial small subunit ribosomal RNA", at positions 28 to 521 of the family's 1533-position model. The record is from RNAcentral.
GAUGAACGCUAGCGGCAGGCCUAACACAUGCAAGUCGAGGGGUAGAGGAAGCUUGCUUCCUUGAGACCGGCGCACGGGUGCGUAACGCGUAUGCAACCUACCUUUUACAGGGGAAUAGCCCCAGAGAAAUUUGGAUUAAUGCCCCCAUGGUAUAAUCGGAUGGCAUCAUUUGAUUAUUAAAGUUCCAACGGUAAAGAUGGGCAUGCGUCCUAUUAGCUAGAUGGUAAGGUAACGGCUUACCAAGACAAUGAUGGGUAGGGUCCUGAGAGGGAGAUCCCCCACACUGGUACUGAGACACGGACCAGACUCCUACGGGAGGCAGCAGUGAGGAAUAUUGGUCAAUGGGCGCAAGCCUGAACCAGCCAUGCCGCGUGCAGGAAGACGGUCCUAUGGAUUGUAAACUGCUUUUAUACAGGAAGAACCCUCCCACGUGUGGGAGCUUGACGGUACUGUAGGAAUAAGGAUCGGCUAACUCCGUGCCAGCAGCCGCGGU